GGACGUGGCUCAGUGGUAGAGCAUCACCUUGCCAAGGUGAGGGUCGCGGGUUCGAAUCCCGUCGUCCG
RNAcentral lists this transfer RNA (68 nucleotides) under Oerskovia paurometabola. It matches the Rfam family "tRNA". From Rfam's summary of the family: Transfer RNA (tRNA) molecules are approximately 80 nucleotides in length. Their secondary structure includes four short double-helical elements and three loops (D, anti-codon, and T loops). Lineage: Bacteria; Bacillati; Actinomycetota; Actinomycetes; Micrococcales; Cellulomonadaceae. RNAcentral also lists the same sequence under 7 other names. The record is from RNAcentral.